RNAcentral lists this ribosomal RNA (118 nucleotides) under Pteropus alecto (black flying fox). Lineage: Eukaryota; Metazoa; Chordata; Mammalia; Chiroptera; Pteropodidae. The record is from RNAcentral.
AUAUACAGCCAUGCCACCCUGAACAAGCCCAAUCCCGUCUGAUCUCAGAAGCUAAGCAGGGUCAUGCCUGGUUAGUACUUGGAUGGAGACCACCUAGGAAGAUCAGGUGCUGUAGGUG